RNAcentral lists this ribosomal RNA (468 nucleotides) under uncultured bacterium. RNAcentral describes it as "partial 16S ribosomal RNA". It matches the Rfam family "Bacterial small subunit ribosomal RNA", at positions 28 to 507 of the family's 1533-position model. The record is from RNAcentral.
GACGAACGCUGGCGGCGUGCUUAACACAUGCAAGUCGAACGGAAAGGCCCUGCUCUUGUGGGGUGCUCGAGUGGCGAACGGGUGAGUAACACGUGAGUAACCUGCCCUUGACUUUGGGAUAACUCCAGGAAACUGGGGCUCAUAUCGGAUAGGAGCUCCUGCUGCAUGGUGGGGGUUGGAAAGUUUCGGCGGUUGGGGAUGGAAUCGCGGCUUAUCCGCUUGUUGGUGGGGUAGUGGAUUACCAAGGCUUUGACGGAUAGCCGGCCUGAGAGGGGGACCGGCCACAAUGGUACUGAGGGAGGGAGCAGACGCCUAUGGUACGCAGCGGGCGGAAGUCUGACGCAGUGGGGGGGAGCGUGAGAUGGCGGCGCUGGGAGCGGAAUAAUGGCCUUCUGGGUGUAAACCGCUUUCUCCGGUGACGAGGCGUUAUUGACGGUAAUUAGUAAAAAAGCACCGGCUAACUACGUG